GAUGAACGCUGGCGGCGUGCCUAAUACAUGCAAGUCGAGCGAACAGAUGAGGAGCUUGCUCCUCUGACGUUAGCGGCGGACGGGUGAGUAACACGUGGAUAAAAUAACUAUAAGACUGGGAUAACUUCGGGAAACAGGAGCUAAUACCGGAUAAUAUAUUGAACCGCAUGGUUCAAUAGUGAAAGACGGUUGUGCUGUCACUAAUAGAUGGAUCAGCGCCGCAUUAGCUAGUGGGUAAGGUAACGGCUUAGCAAGGCAACGAUGCGUAGCCGACCUGAGAGGGUGAUUCGCCACCCUGUAUCUGAGACUCGGCCCCCACUCCUACGGUAGGCAGCAGUCGGGAAUCUUCCGCAAUGCGCGAAAGCCUGACGUAGCAACGCCGCGUGAGUGAUGAAGCUCUUCGGCUCGGAGAACUCUGUUAUUAGGGAAGAACAAAUGUUUAAGUACCUAUGCACGUCUUGACGGUACCUAAUCAGAAAGCCACGGCUAACUACGUG
This 497-nucleotide ribosomal RNA is filed under the name uncultured bacterium. Its description in RNAcentral is "partial 16S ribosomal RNA". It matches the Rfam family "Bacterial small subunit ribosomal RNA", at positions 28 to 507 of the family's 1533-position model. The record is from RNAcentral.